UUUCCGUAGGUGAACCUGCGGAAGGAUCAUUAACACAAAAAAUCCGAAAGAGGUGUGGUCUUGUCUCUCUCUUUUCUGAGAGAGAGAAGAUCCCCUCUUUUAUCUACCCAACUGCGCACUUGUUUAACCAAGCGAAUGGGAUUAGGAUUUGUUGAAACACAUUUGUGUGUCUCAACAUUCGGUCCUGUUUGCGCUUUUUGUUUUUUUUAACAAUUAUUUACCCUUUUGAAAAAACUCAGUUGUAGUUUUUUAUUUCUUUCAAAGCAACGAAUGACGUCUGGCCAUGUGCCUGUUUCGUCGAUCGGUUGUUCGAAAAACUGAAAAUACAACUCUUAGCAACGGAUAUCUUGGUUCCC
RNAcentral lists this unclassified non-coding RNA (356 nucleotides) under plant metagenome. RNAcentral's name for it is "partial contains small subunit ribosomal RNA, internal transcribed spacer 1, and 5.8S ribosomal RNA". The record is from RNAcentral.